Molecule: ribosomal RNA, 460 nt
Filed under: uncultured bacterium
Lineage: Bacteria
Description: partial 16S ribosomal RNA
Rfam family: Bacterial small subunit ribosomal RNA
Source: RNAcentral
CCUACGGGAGGCAGCAGUGAGGAAUAUUGGUCAAUGGGCGCGAGCCUGAACCAGCCAAGUAGCGUGAAGGAUGACUGCCCUACGGGUUGUAAACUUCUUUUAUAAAGGAAUAAAGUGAGGCACGUGUGCCUUUUUGUAUGUAGUUUAUGAGUAAGGAUCGGCUAACUCCGUGCCAGCAGCCGCGGUAAUACUGAGGAUCCGAGCGUUAUCCGGAUUUAUUGGGUUUCAAGGGAGCGUAGAUGGGUUGUUAAGUCAGUUGUGAAAGUUUGCGGCUCAACCGUAAAAUUGCAAUUGAUACUGGCAGUCUUGAGUACAGUGGAGGUAGGAGGAAUUCGUGGUGUAGCGGUGAAAUGCUUAGAUAUCACGAAGAACGCCGAUUGUGAAGGCAGCGUACUAAACUGCCACUGACAUUGAUGCUCGAAAGUGUGGGUAUCAAACAGGAUUAGAUACCCCUGUAGUC